CGACGGCGCUCCGUAUGCCGAUGAGUCCGCUCGUCGACGAUGGGAGCUUGCUCCCGGCAUGUUAGUAGGCGGACGGGUGAGUAACACGUGGGUAACCUGCCUGUAAGACUGGGAUAACUCCGGGAAACCGGAGCUAAUACCGGAUAGUUCCUUGAACCGCAUGGUUCAAGGAUGAAAGACGGUUUCGGCUGUCACUUACAGAUGGACCCGCGGCGCAUUAGCUAGUUGGUGGGGUAAUGGCUCACCAAGGCGACGAUGCGUAGCCGACCUGAGAGGGUGAUCGGCCACACUGGGACUGAGACACGGCCCAGACUCCUACGGGAGGCAGCAGUAGGGAAUCUUCCGCAAUGGACGAAAGUCUGACGGAGCAACGCCGCGUGAGUGAUGAAGGUUUUCGGAUCGUAAAGCUCUGUUGUUAGGGAAGAACAAGUGCGAGAGUAACUGCUCGCACCUUGACGGUACCUAACCAGAAAGCCACGGCUAACUACGUGCCAGCAGCCGCGGUAAUACGUAGGUGGCAAGCGUUGUCCGGGAAUUAUU
RNAcentral lists this ribosomal RNA (540 nucleotides) under Bacillus sp. SAN3. Its description in RNAcentral is "bacterial SSU rRNA". It matches the Rfam family "Bacterial small subunit ribosomal RNA", at positions 37 to 555 of the family's 1533-position model. The record is from RNAcentral. Lineage: Bacteria; Bacillati; Bacillota; Bacilli; Caryophanales; Bacillaceae.